Molecule: long non-coding RNA, 4641 nt
Organism: Epinephelus moara (kelp grouper)
Lineage: Eukaryota; Metazoa; Chordata; Actinopteri; Perciformes; Serranidae
Exons: 2
Source: RefSeq, a predicted model, not a curated record
UCAUUGCAAUUUAAACCAGCAACCAACACUAUUAAGAUAAAAACCAGACAUUGCAGUUUUUCCAAAACAAUACUUUAUAUUGUAGAUGUCAAAGACAACAUGUUAGAGCAAAGGUUCCCGAGAAAAAAUGUACUAUUUCUGUAACAAUGGUGGAACAAGUCAAAAACAUAACUGAUAAAAAAAGAAUAUGCAUUUUAUACAUAUGUAAACCUAGAACUGUUUGUUUUGAACCACAGUGGUCAUAGCAAUAACUGGCUUAUUUAGUGGAAUGGACAACCGUAACAAUGACCAGGCACCUGAAUGGAGCCCUUUGAUAAGUCCAGAUGUGACAAAGAACAAAAAAUGUCUUCCCAAAAGUCCACCAAAGUCACAUCCUGCCUGGUAUAUAAAAAAAGUUUGUCCAUUCUGUUGUCGCAGUUUACAAAGCGUCCCCUAAAACAAUUUGUUUUUCUACAUAAAUACAAUAAAAUCUAUUGUCUGUGUUACAAGUGCUAGAUACCUUUUUUUUUCUUUUUUUUGUAAAAUAUUCAACAGAAGUCUUCCAGGGUUUGAUGAUUCCAAAUCCUACAUGUACAGGUAAAAGCACAACAACCAAACUCCUCCCCAGCAGAAACAAAAAAAGCAGUAAAAGAGAUAAGAUAGUUUGGAUACAGUGAAAGUACUAACGUCCUUCAGUGCUCGAUCCCUUGUGCUGAUAUGUGGUAUGGGACAGACAGACAAGCAGGUAGGCAGUGCAUGCGGACAUACAGAUCAUGCAGAGAGAAAAAAAGGAAUGGAGUGGAGUCGGACCAGGCCGCCUAAAUAAACAGACAGUUCUUGGACCUGGCUGGACCGAACUAUGAGGGCUAAAACAAAAAGAUAUGGCCCCUCCUAAUAAAUGGAAAUUAUAACAAAAUGGAAUGUUGCUGGGGUUUUUUUUCAUUACUGGACAUUGUGUUAAGACUAACAGUGAAGACAGACGGCCAAAGUGGCCAGACAGUGCUAGUCUUGGCUCCUUUUGAGAAACCAAAGCAUUCAGCAGUAGAAACCCCAUGACUGGCACUGAUGUGCAAAGGUUCUGGGAAUGUUCUGGGCUUGGUUACCAAAAAGCAUCUCACCAAGUGUGUUUGCAUGCCCAGAGAUGUCAGCGUAUCAUAGCAAAGGUGAUACUCAUGAUAGCCUCGCUGUAUGCAUUUUCAUAUUCCAACCACAUAUACAUAUAUUUGCAUGAAGCAUCAGAAUGGUGGGAAGAAAGUCCUGAAAAAGAAUCUUUUCAAAAUUACAAAAAAUUGUGUUUGUUUGUAUAGGUGUCUGAUAUAAAGGGAUUUAAGAUUUAUUUCGUUAAUUUACAAGCGGUAAGUGAUAGAUGAAACAAGCAUAAAAAAGUCUAAAAUUUGACCUCUCUGGCUAUUUGCAGAAACCAUGGAAAAGAAUGCCAUGGAGGUGAUUUAGGAACACCUGACCCAAGCGGUGCUUCUGUAGAGAGAUGCAGCAUCACUCUGCCAGUAGAGGUCAGAUACAUUCAGUCAAAGUGAGAAAGUUUGCUCUUUGCAAGUCUGAUCAAGAUUUUAGGAAAUUUCAAUAUGCAUAUGGCCUUAUAAUCUUGUUUUUUUCUUAUAUAUUCCUGUGAGACAUAGAAAUUGUUAAAAAAUCAUUGGUCCUAACGUGGGCUCUUUCAGGGAUCAAACACCUGCGACCCUUUGGAUACAGGACGGUCUUGCUAAACAACAGGCCACCCUGAAACCCAAGGCAUCACUUAGCUGAUGAACCAGAUUACACAUGUGGAUGAGAGGAAUUCUAAGAAAUGUUAAGUUAAAUUAAAAUUAAAGACGUUUGGCCAGAUAAGGAAAUAAGUGAUGAUGGUGUGAACUCAUUUGUAAGGCCCAUCAGAGUGAUUUAAUGUAGGGGAAAUAGCAUGGCCAUGUUCCAAUUCAAAUCCACCCAUCCCAUUUUUCUUGCUCUUUUUUUUUUUCCUGUUGUUGAAGAUGAACUUGUAAACCUUUAAGAAAGAGGAAGAAACAGAUCACCACUUUGGCCACUUUUGAGACGUGCAGAAUCCCAAUUUGAAUUUUAGUCUCACAUUUCUUGAAAUACUUAUAGGUGCUGGCCAAAAUGUGUGGUUUUCUACAAUAUCUACACAAAAAAUAAAAAUGACAUGUGAUGCUGAGCACACCUACUGUAACAGUGUUAUGAGGGAAUGGGAUGGAUAAAGCCAAAAACUAAUCAUCAGUGUUGAAAGAUAAAAAGACAACCAGUAAAUGCUACUGAACACGUAACCAGCUUUAACCAAGGACAGUAUAUGGUGCCUUCAGUGACACCCUAAAAAGAGCCGACUGUAUGUAAGGCCCGUUAAGUGUAUCAUUUCAAUACCAACUUCAAAAACAAGAUCAUAGUAUUUCAUUAUGUAGAUAUAUAUAUAUAUAAUAUACUCAUUUCUUUUCAUAUAUAAAUCUACUAUGAACAGACAGUAAAUACACAAUUGUCCAUCGUUAUACAAAGUAGAAACAUUUGCAUCCCGACCCUCCCACAAAAACCCUGAACCCAGAAAACACAGUCAUGUAAUGUCCACUAAAAACAGACUCUGAACCCUCACCUGUUGUGAAGUAUGUCAGCUUUACAAUGUAACAGAGACACAGACAGGGGGAUAUGAACAAAACAACAUUAAAAAAGUACAAAAGAAGUCACUGGAGUCCACUGGAAGGGCAACAAAACCAAAACAAAAAAAGACACGGAUGAGGGGCAAGAGAAUCAACUAAAGUAGAGUAGUCAUUGACAAAUGUGUGUGGCAGGAAUACUCAGGAGAUCAACGGCCUUUGUACAGUAAACAACAGUAAACACCACAGCAUUCUGUUUCCUGUUCACUGCAAAAAUACAUUAAACAUGAUUAGCUCGUAGAUGAAACAAAGGUAAGAGAAGGUAGUUGCCCAGGGGCCAAACACAAGCUGGAGAAAUGGUUGCAGACAGAGGUUUACUUCUGCACACUGACUGUUUUAUCAAUCUUGUACAUGUAUUUUUUUCUUUGUGAAAAGGACAAAAGCUUCAGUGGCUGACAAGAGCAGACACACUACAACGACCCCGAACUUUUCCAAUCGGUGAAACGUGCUGCAGCUUCAGAAACGAUGCCAACUCAAAAAUACGUACGGAAAUCCAAAACAAAUACAACAAUGGAAAAGUGCUGCGAAUGCAAAACGUGCUGCAGAAAGCCAAAACAAAGACAUCUGAAAUGAUGCAAAGCCAAAAACACACAACCACCAAAAACAAAUACAACAGAAAAAUGCUGCAUAUCCAGUCAACAUAAUGGAAGUUCAAUGGCCUCCAGGGGGAGCGCUGAGUGGAACAGCUUAACUUCCAGCCCUGGAAACAGACCACACAUGAGUGUGUUUGUUUUUGAAGCAGAAAGAAAAGUGGAAUAAAGUCGUAACAUUAAAAGGUACGAUUCUUUUUUUUGGCAGUUGGCCUUAGCCGUGUAUAAUAUCAUAAAAGAGCAACAAAUUUACGUAACUCUGUGGCUCUGGUUAAAAAUCAGGCUGUUCCAUCUAACGCUCCCCUGGAGGCCUGGUUAACUUCCAUCAUGUUAACUGAUUGUGCAGUGUUUUACUGUUGCAUUUGUUUUUUCAGGUUUGUAUGAGACUUUGCAUUAUUUCUGAGUUUGAAGCGUGUUUGCUGUUCAUGUAUUUGUUUUUUCAUUUGAAUCACAUUUUCUGUUGUUGUAAAUCCAAUUUGUUUUGGAUUUUCGUAUGGGUUUUGAAUCGUCAUUUCCAAAGCUGCAGCAUGCAUUUAGCAAUGGAAAUGUUUGGGGCCAUUGUAGCACAUUUGCCUUUGGCCAAAAUGGACAACUAAAUUUACUUACAACUAGGCUGGUGGCUGGUGAGUUGUAUAGUCUUGCUAGCGGGGUUAAGUUUAAAUUAAGAGCCAGUACAGAGCACAAAUUCAUUAAGCUCAGUGUACAAUGCAACAAGCCGAUCUUUCACUUCUAUCUUCUUAAAUAUUAAGCUAAUACCUGAUUUAAAAAGAUUCCGAUUUAGUAAAAUGCAGGAUACAGAAUCUGAGCUACAUGUGUUAUUCAAAGUUGCAAGGAUACUCAUAAUGCAUGGGCGUAUCCCACUGGCUGGGUCACUGCUCAAUAGAAAAGGAUGAUUAAUAAAGAAUAACAACUGGAAAAAUAUAUGUGUGCACUUGAAUAUUUAUAAAGAGCAGCUUGUGCUUCAGUGUAUGUGAACAGAUAUACACACACCUGCCUCACAGCACCUGACAUUUGGGCAGCAGAUGUGCUUAACAAGGGACUAAAGAUGUUAAACCAGCUGUGAGAGCCUGUGCAGCCCAGGAACACCCUUGUGGAAAAUCCCAGGUGGUUCAGUCAUUGUAACCGCAGAGACACAGUUGUCAUAAAGAGAGGGCUGCUGAAACAAAUUGGCCCAUAUGAGAUUAAUUCCUCUCAUCUCAUUAAUCUGACAAAAAGUGUGACUAAUUCUAAUGUAGAAAUGAAGUGGUUUGAUACUACAGAGAUCAAAGUCCAUCAUGCUUUGGCUUCAUUACUGUCUAAAUACACACAGUAUGAAAAGGUUUGUAGUUUUCAUAAGUCCUGUUGUUCUAGUACAGUGCAUGCUACAUGAGUCUUUGCUUGAUGCCUAUCUUAUCAGCAGGCCAACACAAAAUCUGCGC